GACAGAGGGUGCAACCGUUGCUCGGAAUUACUGGGCGUAAAGCGCGUGUAGGCGGGCUGAUAAGUCGGACGUGAAAUCCCUGGGCUCAACCCAGGAACUGCAUCCGAAACUGUCAGUCUGGAGUGGUGGAGAGGGAAGCAGAAUUCCUGGUGUAGAGGUGAAAUUCGUAGAUAUCAGGAGGAACACCGGUGGCGAAGGCGGGUCUCUGGGCCGAUACUGACGCUGAGGAGCGAAAGCGUGGGGAGCGAACAGG
Molecule: ribosomal RNA, 253 nt
Filed under: uncultured bacterium
Lineage: Bacteria
Description: partial 16S ribosomal RNA
Rfam family: Bacterial small subunit ribosomal RNA
Source: RNAcentral